Molecule: transfer RNA, 95 nt
Filed under: Sordaria macrospora k-hell
Lineage: Eukaryota; Fungi; Ascomycota; Sordariomycetes; Sordariales; Sordariaceae
Also listed under: 1 other name
Rfam family: tRNA
About the family: Transfer RNA (tRNA) molecules are approximately 80 nucleotides in length. Their secondary structure includes four short double-helical elements and three loops (D, anti-codon, and T loops).
Source: Rfam by way of RNAcentral
UCGGGUAUGGUGUAGCGGUAACAUCGUUGACUCUCACUUCUUCAGGAGUGACUGCUCUCUCUCAACAGCCCCGGGUUCGACUCCCGGUAUCCGAG